This 228-nucleotide ribosomal RNA is filed under the name uncultured bacterium. RNAcentral describes it as "partial 16S ribosomal RNA". It matches the Rfam family "Bacterial small subunit ribosomal RNA", at positions 568 to 795 of the family's 1533-position model. The record is from RNAcentral.
UGCGCAGGCGGGAAAUUAAGUCAGUGGUGAAAUCCUGCAGCUUAACUGUAGAAUUGCCAUUGAUACUGAUUUUCUUGAGUGCAGUUGAGGUGGGCGGAAUGUGUAAUGUAGCGGUGAAAUGCUUAGAUAUUACACAGAACACCGAUUGCGUAGGCAGCUCACUAAACUGUUACUGACGCUCAGGCACGAAAGCGUGGGGAGCGAACAGGAUUAGAUACCCUGGUAGUC